This is a small nucleolar RNA of Suricata suricatta (meerkat), 140 nucleotides long. NCBI's taxonomy places the organism in Eukaryota, Metazoa, Chordata, Mammalia, Carnivora, Herpestidae. The record is from Ensembl.
GCAUGGCUGAAUACUGUGUUCUUUUUAUCAGUAAUUUACACAGCCAGACACCAUGCAAAAGUAGUCUUCCCUUUAAAAUGCCUGUGAUGGUAUGCUAAGCUUUUUUUUAUAGCAUAUCAUGAUUAAAAAUGGAUACAAAU